This 499-nucleotide ribosomal RNA is filed under the name uncultured Bacteroidota bacterium. RNAcentral describes it as "bacterial SSU rRNA". It matches the Rfam family "Bacterial small subunit ribosomal RNA", at positions 397 to 896 of the family's 1533-position model. Lineage: Bacteria; Pseudomonadati; Bacteroidota. The record is from RNAcentral.
CCGCGUGAAGGAUGAAGGCGUUCUGCGUUGUAAACUUCUUUUAUCUGGGAAGAAACCUACUUUUUCUAAAGUAGCCGACGGUACCAGAGGAAUAAGCACCGGCUAACUCCGUGCCAGCAGCCGCGGUAAUACGGAGGGUGCAAGCGUUAUCCGGAUUCACUGGGUUUAAAGGGUGUGUAGGCGGGUAUUUAAGUCAGUGGUGAAAUCUCCGAGCUCAACUCGGAAACUGCCAUUGAUACUAUUUAUCUUGAAUAUUGUUGAGGUAGGCGGAAUAUGUCAUGUAGCGGUGAAAUGCUUAGAUAUGACAUAGAACACCGAUUGCGAAGGCAGCUUGCUAAACAAUUAUUGACGCUGAGGCACGAAAGCGUGGGGAUCAAACAGGAUUAGAUACCCUGGUAGUCCACGCCCUAAACGAUGAUUACUGGACAUUUGCGAUAUACAGUGAGUGUCUGAGCGAAAGCAUUAAGUAAUCCACCUGGGAAGUACGUCCGCAAGGAUG